This is a long non-coding RNA of Haliotis rubra (blacklip abalone), 1813 nucleotides long. RefSeq lists it as uncharacterized. The record is from RefSeq and is a predicted model, not a curated record. Lineage: Eukaryota; Metazoa; Mollusca; Gastropoda; Lepetellida; Haliotidae. The transcript is spliced from 7 exons.
AGAAUUACAAGGAUAUGAGAGUGAGACGUCCUCCCUUACCCCAAGACUUGCAGACAGGACAAACCUAGGUUUCAUGGCUCCCCAAAUAUCUUAGCUUGGAAUCUACGAGACUGAACCAGGGAUGUUGUUGAACAGAGGUACAAAAGUCAACUGUCAAGUCUGUGCUUCAUCAAAGACACUAACUGGUGAGACCCUGUAAUGUGAUCGCAAUCUGCCCAAUGGAGUAAUUACACAGCCUGGAAGACCACUAAUGGAAUACAAGACCCUUCUAUGAUGAUACGGAUUACACAUUUUCAUGGCUGCUGUGUGGCAUGCCUGGCAGCCAAACAAGUCUCUACCAGGGGCUAAAGAACGAAAAAAUGAGCACAAGUUAACAGACAAGGACCUGAGGCGUUCAAUUUAUUCCCCUGUACACUGAUGGACGGAAUCAGCCAGGAUACAUGGCCAUCUGAUUGAGUCGGGGAAUAUCAGGUGGGGCUGCCAGAUUACGACAGGUGCUAAAUAUGGCCGUCACGAUACGGAGCUCUGGGUGCUGCACUUGCCACUGCCUGGCAAGACGGAUGUAUUUAUCAAUCACUUGUGUGUGCAGGAGCUACUAAGACACUGGGUGAUACACACGCCAGAACCUGGACAGAAAUGUGUUUGUUUGAUCCUCUGUGUGUGUGAGAAGCUUUCUUAAGGCACAAUCAGCAUGAGAUCAAAGGCAAAUCAAGUUAUCCCCGAGGACUAGGAGAAGGCAGGGUGCUUCUACACAAACACUGGAAUUGUCAUCAGUUGAUGAAAUUACAAGGCAUGAUAUGGGCUUCAGACAUGCUGACAUCUGGGGGUGGUAAAGUCAUCAUUCUGGACAUUCAGCAAGAGUCAGCCGAGUGGAGUGGAGUGGAGACGUAGGAUGCAGAGUAUACUGGGGGAAGCUGGUGUGGUGGUCACUUACGGACUGUCCAUACCUGGUUCUUGGGAGGGUCAAUUCUUGUUUCAUGUGAAGGUGAAAUUGGUGAUAUCUCAGAAGUGUUGUGGAUUACUUGUUUCAAAGAAAAUGCGGAGCUGAGUUUCCAAGUGAGGAGAUUUACGUGCCUCAAAUGAGGACGGUUCCAUGUCUACUAGUUGGGAGAUUUACCUGGAUCAAUCAUGGUGAUUUACCUGUAUCGGUGAUUGUGAUUUACCUGUAUCAGUGAUUGUGAUUUACCUGUAUCAGGGAUGGUGAUUUACCUGUAUCAGGGAUGGUGAUUUACCUGUAUCGGAUAUGGACUAAGCUAUGUGAAUCAAUAAUGGAUAUAUACCUGUAUUGGACAUGGAGAGAAGACCACUGCAGUGCAAGAAAUCAUCUACUUUUAAAGAACAUUACAGAAAGACCCUGAAAGAUACGAAGAUACAUGAUGAGACGAUAGAGCAGACGGCAAUGAGAAUUCCAACCCCAUGCUGCUGGCUCCCCCGACAGCUUUCAAUCUACUCGGAUAACUACUCCACUGUCAAGAUGUCUCAGCCUACAACAAAUUGCUCCACAAUUUUAUGGUUCAACUGGACCAGGUAAUGUGAACAGAACUACAUCAUCAACAGGAACGUGGUUUCAAAGGAUUCUGGGUCUGCUGGAAAUGGAUUUCAAUCAGUGUUCACUGGUGCUGAGAUCUGGAAAACUGUUCAGCUGAUCUGAGAAUGAACUGCAGCCAUUCCACAGGCUGUAAUCAGCAUCAGAUCAACUUCCAUGUCAAUCAGGGUGGAAGAGCACACUGUGAUAAACUGAUAGCAAGCAUCUCCAAGCUCAGUAUGUGCAGGAAGCCUUAGUGCAGGAGCUGCUGCAGAUUCGCAGAUCCGA